CAGCAGCCACGGUAAGACAGAGGAUGCAAGCGUUAUCCGGAAUGAUUGGGCGUAAAGCGUCUGUAGGUGGCUUUUCAAGUCCGCCGUCAAAUCCCAGGGCUCAACCCUGGACAGGCGGUGGAAACUACCAAGCUGGAGUACGGUAGGGGCAGAGGGAGUUUCCAGUGGAGCGGUGAAAUGCGUUGAGAUCGAAAAGAACACCAACAGCGAAAGCACUCUGCCGGGACGACACUGACACUAAGAGACGAAAGCUAGGGGAGCAAAUGGGAUUAGAUACCCCCGUAGUCCCUGUCUCUUAUAC
RNAcentral lists this ribosomal RNA (301 nucleotides) under uncultured bacterium. RNAcentral describes it as "partial 16S ribosomal RNA". It matches the Rfam family "Bacterial small subunit ribosomal RNA", at positions 509 to 807 of the family's 1533-position model. The record is from RNAcentral.